AGCUCAGUGGCAAAGCGCUUGCCUAGCAAGCAUGAGGCCCUGGGUUCGAUCCUCAG
This 56-nucleotide transfer RNA is filed under the name Ictidomys tridecemlineatus (thirteen-lined ground squirrel). RNAcentral describes it as "Spermophilus tridecemlineatus (thirteen-lined ground squirrel) tRNA". It matches the Rfam family "tRNA", at positions 9 to 63 of the family's 71-position model. From Rfam's summary of the family: Transfer RNA (tRNA) molecules are approximately 80 nucleotides in length. Lineage: Eukaryota; Metazoa; Chordata; Mammalia; Rodentia; Sciuridae. The record is from Rfam by way of RNAcentral.